UACGGGAGGCAGCAGUGGGGAAUAUUGCACAAUGGGCGAAAGCCUGAUGCAGCUAUGCCGCGUGUAUGAAGAAGGCCUUAGGGUUGUAAAGUACUUUCAUCGGGGAGGAAAAAAACAAAACUAAUAAUUUUAUUUCUUGACGUUACCCGAAAAAGAAGCACCGGCUAACUCCGUGCCAGCAGCCGCGGUAAUACGGAGGGUGCUAGCGUUAAUCAGAAUUACUGGGCGUAAAGAGCACGUAGGUGGUUUUUUUAAAGUCAGAUGUGAAAUCCCUGGGCUUUAACCUAGGAACUGCAUUUUGAAACUGAAAUAUUAGAGUAUCGUAGAGGGAGGUAGAAUUCUAGGUGUAGCGGUGAAAUGCGUAGAUAUCUGGAGGAAUACCUGUGGCGAAAGCGGCCUCCUAAACGAAUACUGACACUGAGGGUGCGAAAAGCGUGGGGAGCAAAACAGGGAUUAGAUACC
RNAcentral lists this ribosomal RNA (462 nucleotides) under uncultured bacterium. RNAcentral describes it as "bacterial SSU rRNA". It matches the Rfam family "Bacterial small subunit ribosomal RNA", at positions 340 to 786 of the family's 1533-position model. The record is from RNAcentral.